UGUAAACGAUUCUCGCUAGGUGUCGGCCACGGUGCGACCGUUGUCGGUGCCGUAGGGAAGCCGUGAAGCGAGCCACCUGGGAAGUACGGCCGCAAGGCUGAAACUUAAAGGAAUUGGCGGGGGAGCACCACAACGGGUGGAGCUUGCGGUUUAAUUGGAUUCAACGCCGGAAAUCUUACCGGGACCGACAGCAAUAUGAAGGCCAGGCUGAAGACUUUGCCGGAUUAGCUGAGAGGUGGUGCAUGGCCGUCGUCAGUUCGUACUGUGAAGCAUCCUGUUAAGUCAGGCAACGAGCGAGACCCACGCCCACAGUUGCCAGCGUACUCUCUGGGAGUGACGGGUACUU
RNAcentral lists this ribosomal RNA (346 nucleotides) under uncultured Methanosarcinales archaeon. RNAcentral describes it as "bacterial SSU rRNA". It matches the Rfam family "Archaeal small subunit ribosomal RNA", at positions 752 to 1096 of the family's 1478-position model. The record is from RNAcentral. Lineage: Archaea; Methanobacteriati; Methanobacteriota; Methanomicrobia; Methanosarcinales.